AAAGGGGUGAUGGCGGCGCAGGGCGGGCCCCACUCCCCUGGGCUGCCUGCGUCCGCCCGCCCCGCUGAGAGCUCGCUGAGCCCUAGGCCGGGUCCGAGUCUCGCGGGCGCGCCGUCCGCGCAGUGCUCAGCCAGGACGGACCCCGCACGGGCUGCCUCAGAAGCCCUCCCUAAGGGUCACCUGAGACGCCUUUGCUGACCCACGGCUGGGGGCGUUCCGCAUCUCCAGGGUGCCCUGCGGCUGCUGACUCGGGGCCGGCGCUGCCCUCGGGCGGCCUCCCAGCACCAAGCACAGCCGCCCUGGGACCCCCGCCCUGCCACGCGGACGGCCACCCGGCCCUGGGGCCCUCCUACCCAGCCGGCUUUGUGAAAUCAGCUGUGAAAGGAAGAUAUCCUGGGCCCCCAAGAUCACUAAGGAAAACUCCAGCAGGAAACUGCUUAGGGCAGGCCUGCUUCCCAUUCCAUUCAAAGUCACUCCUCUGCUCACUUAGAUAGAUACAUAUCUGAUUUGCCUCCUUUGAAAAGGCAAAUGAGAAACUCAAAAGAAUUUAACCGUUGGUGUCUCACCUAUCUGUGGCCUGGACGCUCCCUCCCCGCUUGGAGUCUUCCUGCCUUUGCUUCAAGUUGUCCCGUCUUUCCAGACCGAACCGAUGUGCUUCUUACAUGUAUCGAUGGAUGUAUCCUGUCUCCCUAAAUGUAUAAAACCAAGCUGUGCCCCGACCACCUUGGGCACAUGUCAGGACUUCCUGAGGCUGUGUCACGGGCGCGUCCUCACCCUUGGCAAAAUAAACUUUGUAAAUUAACUGAGACCUGUCUCCCAUUUUCUGGGUUCACACAGCCCAUUGCCCAAACUUCGCGUGGGGCUUUGCAGAUAGGCUGUAGCUGCAGAACCCUUUCUUCAAGCACAGCCAUGCAAGCCGCCUCAUAUGUGCAAGUGCCAGCGUCGCUGGGGCGGACGAGUGGGCCUGGGUCUCCGGUUCCCGCCUCCCUCCUAACUCGGCAUUCCUCCCCAGACCCUGGAGCUCCACUUAGGAGCAGAGUUUGAAAACCAAAGGCCGGUGCCUUCACCACGUUAUGUGGUCCCAGGGAGACCUCACUUCUCUUGUUGAUCCAUGGUCCUGGAUCCACGGACCUGAGGUGGCCCACCACCUCAUGACCUUCAUGGGGCUCUCAGUGUCCUUCCACCUGAGAGCUUGUGGUUAUUUGUGACUGUUUCAAAUUACAGAAGCCCUGGAGUCAUCCUUGACUCUCUUCCUACUGCCAGGGGACACGUCCUCCAUACAUCCCUCCUUGCCCUGUCCCAGCUCCCCUCACCUCUCCCCACCCCUCCCACCAUUCCCCUGGGCUCUGGCGAGUGGUCCUCCUAAAACAGGUGAUCACAUCACUGCUGUCUUCAGACACUCCCUUUGUUCCUGGACCCAACUGAGGGUCGGGCUACUACUUCUCCUGGCCCAAUAACAAGAUGCAAAUGAGCUGGAGAGUAAGAGAGG
This 1489-nucleotide long non-coding RNA is filed under the name Homo sapiens (human). Its description in RNAcentral is "non-protein coding lnc-NPBWR2-4:1". Lineage: Eukaryota; Metazoa; Chordata; Mammalia; Primates; Hominidae. The record is from RNAcentral.